Molecule: non-coding RNA, 182 nt
Organism: Drosophila persimilis
Lineage: Eukaryota; Metazoa; Arthropoda; Insecta; Diptera; Drosophilidae
Source: Rfam
UUGUUGCAUUUUCCAUAGGUUUAUUUGCUACCUUUACUUAUUUUCAUUUGUAGUAUUUUUUGCUUAUUUUUAAAUUCAUAAAAUGGAGGUGUUUAGUCCGUAGGCGUAAUUGAAUUACGAAUCGGGCAUAUCUUUAGCGCCUGCGCUUAAGAUAUCUUUGGAAGAUUCACCGGCCAGAGUCC